This 539-nucleotide ribosomal RNA is filed under the name uncultured Geobacteraceae bacterium. RNAcentral's name for it is "bacterial SSU rRNA". It matches the Rfam family "Bacterial small subunit ribosomal RNA", at positions 9 to 526 of the family's 1533-position model. Lineage: Bacteria; Pseudomonadati; Thermodesulfobacteriota; Desulfuromonadia; Geobacterales; Geobacteraceae. The record is from RNAcentral.
GAGUUUGAUCCUGGCUCAGAACGAACGCUGGCGGCGUGCUUAACACAUGCAAGUCGAACGUGAUCCGGAGCUUGCUCCGGUGAAAGUGGCGCACGGGUGAGUAACGCGUGGAUAAUCUGCCCUGGUAUCUGGGAUAACAUCUCGAAAGGGGUGCUAAUACCGGAUAAGCCCACGGGAUCCUCGGAUUCUGCGGGAAAAGGUGGCCCCUAUUUAUAAGCUACCGUAUCAGGAUGAGUCCGCGUACCAUUAGCUAGUUGGUGGGGUAAUGGCCCMCCAAGGCUACGAUGGUUAGCUGGUCUGAGAGGAUGAUCAGCCACACUGGAACUGAGACACGGUCCAGACUCCUACGGGAGGCAGCAGUGGGGAAUUUUGCGCAAUGGGGGAAACCCUGACGCAGCAACGCCGCGUGAGUGAUGAAGGCUUUCGGGUCGUAAAGCUCUGUCAGAGGGGAGGAAAUGGAAUUGGUUAAUACCCGACUUCCUUGACGGUACCCUCAAAGGAAGCACCGGCUAACUCCGUGCCAGCAGCCGCGGUAAUAC